ACUGCACCGACAGUUGUUCUUCGCCUCCACAGUCCAACGCUCCGACCACAUUCACGGCCCGCUGCCUCCCGCCCCCUCCACGCGCGUGCACAUCGAUGACGGAAUGCGGAAACAGGUGAGUUUCUGUGUAAAAUCCCCGGUGGGCUUUCUCCGUCUGAACAUCGGGAUUCUGGAGAGGAGGAGGUCCGGGAGACCAGCAGGCCUCCUCUGGAAGGAGAGUCACAGGAGCAUCCCUGAUCUGAUGGACAUCUGCAGAUUCCAGUUGGCUCCUCUCUGCUCCUCCUCCUACACUUGGCUGUGGACCC
Oryzias latipes (Japanese medaka) is the source of this 305-nucleotide non-coding RNA. The record is from RefSeq and is a predicted model, not a curated record. Lineage: Eukaryota; Metazoa; Chordata; Actinopteri; Beloniformes; Adrianichthyidae.